GAUUAACGCUGGCGGCAUGCCUAAUACAUGCAAGUCGAACGGAAGCAGCAAUGCUUUAGUGGCGAACGGGUGAGUAACACGUAGGGAACCUACCUAUACGACGAGGAUAACUACUGGAAACGGUAGCUAAAACUGGAUAGGAUCAAUUGAGGCAUCUUGAUUGAUUUAAAGAUCCUUCGGGAUUACGUAGAGAUGGCCCUGCGGCGCAUUAGCUAGUUGGUGAGGUAACGGCCCACCAAGGCGACGAUGCGUAGCUGAGCUGAGAGGCUAAACAGCCACACUGGGACUGAGACACGGCCCAGACUCCUACGGGAGGCAGCAGUAGGGAAUUUUCGGCAAUGGGGAAACCCUGACCGAGCAAUGCCGCGUGAACGAUGAAGGUCUUCGGAUUGUAAAGUUCUGUGAUUGGGGAAGAAUGGUAUUCUUAGGGAAUGAGGAGUACAUGACGGUACCCGAUUAGAAAGCCCCGGCUAACUAUGUGCCAGCAGCCG
This 491-nucleotide ribosomal RNA is filed under the name uncultured bacterium. RNAcentral describes it as "bacterial SSU rRNA". It matches the Rfam family "Bacterial small subunit ribosomal RNA", at positions 28 to 517 of the family's 1533-position model. The record is from RNAcentral.